CAGUCGCCGCGGGAAUACGUAGGUCCCGAGCGUUGUCCGGAUUUACUGGGCAUAAAGCGAGCGCAGGCGGUUAGAUAAGUCUGAAGUUAAAGGCUGUGGCUUAACCAUAGUGCGCUUUGGAAACUGUUUAACUUGGGUGCAGAAGGGGAGAGUGGAACUCCAUGUGUAGCGGUGAAAUGCGUAGAUAUAUGGAGGAACACCGGUGGCGAAAGCGGCUCUCUGGUCUGUAACUGACGCUGAGGCUCGAAAGCGUGGGGAGCAAACAGGAUUAGAUACCCCCGUAGUCCCUGUCUCUUAUACA
This 301-nucleotide ribosomal RNA is filed under the name uncultured bacterium. RNAcentral's name for it is "partial 16S ribosomal RNA". It matches the Rfam family "Bacterial small subunit ribosomal RNA", at positions 509 to 808 of the family's 1533-position model. The record is from RNAcentral.